AGCUUCUGGUGCCGCAGGGUAGCCGUGAAGCGAGCCACCUGGGAAGUACGGCCGCAAGGCUGAAACUUAAAGGAAUUGGCGGGGGAGCACUACAACGGGUGGAGCCUGCGGUUUAAUUGGACUCAACGCCGGAAAACUCACCUGGGGCGACAGCAAUAUGUAGGUCAGGCUGAAGGUCUUACCUGAAUCGCUGAGAGGAGGUGCAUGGCCGUCGUCAGUUCGUACUGUGAAGCAUCCUGUUAAGUCAGGCAACGAGCGAGACCCGUGCCCACUGUUGCCAGCAUAUCCUUCGG
This 293-nucleotide ribosomal RNA is filed under the name Methanolobus sp. enrichment culture clone CIBANICRA-13. RNAcentral's name for it is "partial 16S ribosomal RNA". It matches the Rfam family "Archaeal small subunit ribosomal RNA", at positions 790 to 1082 of the family's 1478-position model. The record is from RNAcentral. Lineage: Archaea; Methanobacteriati; Methanobacteriota; Methanomicrobia; Methanosarcinales; Methanosarcinaceae.